AGAGUUGAUCAUGGCUCAGAACGAACGCUGGCGGCGCGUUUAAGCAUGCAAGUCGAGCGGCAAGGGCCUUCGGGCCCCUAGAGCGGCGGACGGGUGAGUAACACGUGGACAAUCUGCCCCCCGGCCCGGGAUAGCCCAGGGAAACCUGGAUUAAUACCGGAUGAGACGGGACCCGCGAUGGCGGGACCCGGGAAAGGCGCUGCGGCGCCGCCGGGGGAUGAGUCUGCGUCCCAUUAGCUAGACGGCGGGGUAACGGCCCACCGUGGCGACGAUGGGUAGCCGGCCUGAGAGGGUGGACGGCCACAUUGGAACUGAGACACGGUCCAGACUCCUACGGGAGGCAGCAGCUAAGAAUCUUCCGCAAUGGGCGAAAGCCUGAACCGGAGCGACGCCGCGUGAACGAAGAAGGCCGUGAGGUUGUAAAGUUCUUUUCGGGAGGGGGAACAACCGUGGCAGGGAAUGGCCGCGGGGUGACGUGAAUCCCGGAAUAAGCCCCGGCUAACUACGUGCCAGCCGCCGC
This 520-nucleotide ribosomal RNA is filed under the name uncultured bacterium. RNAcentral describes it as "bacterial SSU rRNA". It matches the Rfam family "Bacterial small subunit ribosomal RNA", at positions 8 to 518 of the family's 1533-position model. The record is from RNAcentral.